UACGUAGGUGGCAAGCGUUGUCCGGAUUUACUGGGCGUAAAGAGCGCGCAGGCGGUCGGCCAAGUCGAGUGUGAAAGCCCCCGGCUCAACUGGGGAGGGUCAUUCGAUACUGGUCGACUCGAAGGCAGGAGAGGGAAGCGGAAUUCCCGGUGUAGUGGUGAAAUGCGUAGAUAUCGGGAGGAACACCAGUGGCGAAGGCGGCUUCCUGGCCUGUUCUUGACGCUGAGGCGCGAAAGCUAGGGGAGCAAACGGG
Molecule: ribosomal RNA, 253 nt
Filed under: uncultured bacterium
Lineage: Bacteria
Description: partial 16S ribosomal RNA
Rfam family: Bacterial small subunit ribosomal RNA
Source: RNAcentral